CGAGCGGUAGAGAGAAGCUUGCUUCUCUUGAGAGCGGCGGACGGGUGAGUAAUGCCUAGGAAUCUGCCUGGUAGUGGGGGAUAACGUUCGGAAACGGACGCUAAUACCGCAUACGUCCUACGGGAGAAAGCAGGGGACCUUCGGGCCUUGCGCUAUCAGAUGAGCCUAGGUCGGAUUAGCUAGUUGGUGAGGUAAUGGCUCACCAAGGCGACGAUCCGUAACUGGUCUGAGAGGAUGAUCAGUCACACUGGAACUGAGACACGGUCCAGACUCCUACGGGAGGCAGCAGUGGGGAAUAUUGGACAAUGGGCGAAAGCCUGAUCCAGCCAUGCCGCGUGUGUGAAGAAGGUCUUCGGAUUGUAAAGCACUUUAAGUUGGGAGGAAGGGCAGUUACCUAAUACGUGAUUGUUUUGACGUUACCGACAGAAUAAGCACCGGCUAACUCUGUGCCAGCAGCCGCGGUAAUACAGAGGGUGCAAGCGUUAAUCGGAAUUACUGGGCGUAAAGCGCGCGUAGGUGGUUUGUUAAGUUGGAUGUGAAAUCCCCGGGCUCAACCUGGGAACUGCAUUCAAAACUGACUGACUAGAGUGUGGUAGAGGGUGGUGGAAUUUCCUGUGUAGCGGUGAAAUGCGUAGAUAUAGGAAGGAACACCAGUGGCGAAGGCGACCACCUGGACCAACACUGACACUGAGGUGCGAAAGCGUGGGGAGCAAACAGGAUUAGAUACCCUGGUAGUCCACGCCGUAAACGAUGUCAACUAGCCGUUGGGAGCCUUGAGCUCUUAGUGGCGCAGCUAACGCAUUAAGUUGACCGCCUGGGG
Molecule: ribosomal RNA, 820 nt
Filed under: Pseudomonas orientalis
Lineage: Bacteria; Pseudomonadati; Pseudomonadota; Gammaproteobacteria; Pseudomonadales; Pseudomonadaceae
Description: bacterial SSU rRNA
Rfam family: Bacterial small subunit ribosomal RNA
Source: RNAcentral